Molecule: ribosomal RNA, 1354 nt
Filed under: Nocardia jiangxiensis
Lineage: Bacteria; Bacillati; Actinomycetota; Actinomycetes; Mycobacteriales; Nocardiaceae
Description: 16S ribosomal RNA
Rfam family: Bacterial small subunit ribosomal RNA
Source: RNAcentral
CGGCGAACGGGUGAGUAACACGUGGGUGACUGCCUUGCACUCUGGGAUAAGCCUGGGAAACUGGGUCUAAUACCGGAUAUGACCUGCCUCUGCAUGGGGGUUGGUGGAAAGAUUUAUCGGUGCGAGAUGGGCCCGCGGCCUAUCAGCUUGUUGGUGGGGUAAUGGCCUACCAAGGCGACGACGGGUAGCCGGCCUGGGAGGGCGACCGGCCACACUGGGACUGAGAACGGCCCAGACUCCUAGGGAGGCAGCAGUGGGGAAUAUUGCACAAUGGGCUAAAGCCUGAUGCAGCGACGCCGCGUGAGGGAUGACGGCCUUCGGGUUGUAAACCUCUUUCGACAGGGACGAAGCGCAAGUGACGGUACCUGUAGAAGAAGCACCGGCCAACUACGUGCCAGCAGCCGCGGUAAUACGUAGGGUGCGAGCGUUGUCCGGAAUUACUGGGCGUAAAGAGCUUGUAGGCGGUUCGUCGCGUCGAUUGUGAAAACUUGCAGCUCAACUGCAAGCUUGCAGUCGAUACGGGCGGACUAGAGUACUUCAGGGGAGACUGGAAUUCCUGGUGUAGCGGUGAAAUGCGCAGAUAUCAGGAGGAACACCGGUGGCGAAGGCGGGUCUCUGGGAAGUAACUGACGCUGAGAAAGCGAAAGCGUGGGUAGCGAACAGGAUUAGAUACCCUGGUAGUCCACGCCGUAAACGGGUGGGUACUAGGUGUGGGGUUUUCCUUCCACGGGAUCCGUGCCGUAAGCUUAACGCAUUAAGUACCCCCGCCUGGGGAGUACGGCCGCAAGGCUAAAACUCAAAGGAAUUGACGGGGGCCCGCACAAGCGGCGGAGCAUGUGGAUUAAUUCGAUGCAACGCGAAGAACCUUACCUGGGUUUGACAUACACCAGAAAGCUGCAGAGAUGUAGCCCCCCUUGUGGUUGGUGUACAGGUGGUGCAUGGCUGUCGUCAGCUCGUGUCGUGAGAUGUUGGGUUAAGUCCCGCAACGAGCGCAACCCUUAUCUUAUGUUGCCAGCGCGUAAUGGCGGGGACUCGUGAGAGACUGCCGGGGUCAACUCGGAGGAAGGUGGGGACGACGUCAAGUCAUCAUGCCCCUUAUGUCCAGGGCUUCACACAUGCUACAAUGGCCGGUACAGAGGGCUGCGAUACCGUGAGGUGGAGCGAAUCCCUUAAAGCCGGUCUCAGUUCGGAUCGGGGUCUGCAACUCGACCCCGUGAAGUUGGAGUCGCUAGUAAUCGCAGAUCAGCAACGCUGCGGUGAAUACGUUCCCGGGCCUUGUACACACCGCCCGUCAUGUCAUGAAAGGUCGGGUAACACCCGAAGCUCGGUGGCCCUAACCUCUUGGGGGGGAGCC